This is an RNA transcript of Nelumbo nucifera (sacred lotus), 6047 nucleotides long. It is a transcript of the gene named F-box/kelch-repeat protein At5g15710-like, with no coding region annotated. The record is from RefSeq and is a predicted model, not a curated record. NCBI's taxonomy places the organism in Eukaryota, Viridiplantae, Streptophyta, Magnoliopsida, Proteales, Nelumbonaceae.
AAAAACUGAAAUCUAUCGAAAGAGAGAGAAAGAGAGAGAGAGAGAGAGAAUUUGGUAGCUCCAUUUCCAAACCAACUAACCCACGAGAGAACAGAAAGCAAGCAACCGAAAUCAAUCAAAAACCAUCUCAGAUUUCCCUUGAUUUCCCCCUCCUUUCUACUCUAGAUCCCAAUCUUUCUAGGGUUUCAUUCUUCUUUCUCUGCUUUUCUCAGAAGAACAGAGGAAGAAAUCAGAUAUGGUGGAGAGGCAAUCCUUCUUCAGUCGGCUGCCGGAGGAACUAACGGAGAGGAUCCUGGCCCACCUCCCCAUCUCCGCCGUGUUCCGCUGCCGCUGCGUAUGCAAGCAAUGGAACUCCUUGCUAACAUCCAAUUCCUUCCUGGACCUCUGGGGUAAGUUCUCCCCUAGAGACGUCUGGUUCCUCGUCUACCACACGCGCCACAUGGUCGCUGCUUACAGUCCUCGUUCCGGUCUCUGGAACAAUCUCCCUCUGUACGAUCGGUGUUCUCUCGACUCCUCUCAGGUCCUCCUCUUAGCGUCCUCCGGUGGUCUCCUCUGCUUCCGUAACCGCAAUUCCGAUUACCCUACCUUGAUCGUCUGUAAUCCUGUCACUAGCUCCCAUAGGGUCUUGCCCGAUAUGCUUCAAAUUCAAUACAUCGAUAUCGUCGGCAUGGUCGCCGAUGGGAUCACCAAUUCGUACAAGAUUUUGGUCACUGGAACCCCUGAACCUGAUUCAAACGAGAGCAUUACCGAAGUCUACGAUUCUAGAACACAGCGGUGGGAACACCAUUGUCGGUCCCAGCUGGAAUUCUUGCAGUUUUGGUAUGAAGUUCAUGCGAUUUGGCACGACGGUUUCUUCUAUUGCCUCGCGACUCCGCUCAAUACUUCGCAAGGUUACCGCCUGAUAGCUUAUGAUAUGGGGAAGAGGGAAUGGACUGAUUUGAAUGUGAAAAUGCCAGCGGGUGAUCUCCGGUGCCCGUCGUUGCUUAUCUGUCGGGGGAAGUUACUUUUGGCGGGGAAAAUUGUGGAGGAUUAUUUGAUUAGGAGUGUUUGUAUAUGGGAGCUUAACAUGGAGAGCAUGCGGUGGGUGAAGGUGGAGGAGAUGCCCGAUGAGGUAUUGAAGAAGAUACAUUCGCCGCACUCGGUGUUGAUUCAGUGCCAAGGUCAUGGAGAUCUCGUGUGCUUUAGUACGCACCGGGGAUGGCAGUCGAUUAUCUACAAUUUGGCGGAGCGAACUUGGCAUUGGCUGCCGGAGAAUGAUGUUUGUGUACGGAGCAAGUCGCAGGCAAUGGGAAGGAAUAACCUUGUUGGGUUGCCGUAUGAACCUAGCUUAUCCGCAAGAAUAUGAGUUGUUGCUGGAAUGAAGUGGGUACAUGAAUUGGUUGGUGCAUGAACGUGCUAUAUAUAUACCUCUGUGGAAUUCUUGCUAACCAUCAGGAUCACUCUUUUCUGUUCAUUAGUGUCUCGUCUGUGAACUACCAACAUCUAUCUGUUCUCCUCAUUUCAAUUCUUUGUUAGUUGUGGGAAAUGUUCAUGUGAUAUAAUGUUGCUUUACUCAGUUUGUUUGUGUAAAGGUGACAAUUUGUUUAUAUGUGAUUGACAUGAUGCCUAACAUUAAUUCUCUAACUAUAUAUCUGUUAGGUUUUCCUUUUGUUAAUCUAGCUUUGUGGAUCCGGAAAGGCUUAGGUGAAAGCUUAUUCUCUGGAUUGAUUUCUGUUGGAGAGCUUGAAACAAUGAUAUUUUGCUAUUUCUACAUGUUGCUUAAUUUUUAAUGCUUGUUUUAUAGGUUUCAGCAAAUCCUUGAUGAUCAAAACAAGAGAGGGAUGUAUGUAAUCUGUUCUGGGAGUCUGUUAUCUUGGUUUUAUUUUGGUAGAAUGACUUUUUAGCCAAUAACCUUUAAAGACAUGGUUGAUUUCUAUAUAGCUUAGGUUUGUUGGUUUACCAUAAAAAUAAAAGAAAUACGGAGUCCUGAUCUUUAAAACAAAGAAUACUGAAUCCUUUGAUCCUAAUCUGUUGGUUUGCACAAGGCUAGACCAUUUUAGUCAGAAGCUGUUGGUCACAUGCUUGAGUUUACUGAUUUGGUGCCAGAAAUCAGUUUAAGAGGGUUGGAAAUGUAUAUCUAAGCGAGAAAGAAGAGAUACAUCUUACAUAUGUUGUAUUUAUAUUUUGUCUUGGGACUAGAAAUAAGACAAUUUUUCUAGGAGUAUUAUUUGGUUAUAUCUUUGUUUGAAUUGAAAAUGGUCAUAUUUGUUGUUUUCCUUGUUAGAAUCUUGCAAUGUCCUCAAUGACCAAACUUGGUGGAUUUGGGUGGUAGUUGUUAAUUUGGCUUGUGUUGUUGUGUUGGGUGUUGUGAGUUGGCUGUGAGAUUGGUUUAGGGGGUUGCUUUAUCUUUAUUUGUGGGUGAUAGCUUAUCACCUCCUUGAUUCUUCUUUCUUAGUUCUUAAUAAAUUUUCUUUUUUAUUUAUAAGAAAAAAAAACCAAACUUGGCAGUAGCCCAAUUUUCUCCUCUAUCAGUAGACACCUUCUCUUUCUUCAUCCUCAUGUAGGUCUUCUUCAUUAUUGUAUAUUCUUUUUCAUGUAUGUGAAAAUAUUUGUGUGUUUGUCUUCUUAAAUAACAUAAGCAUGGGGGGGGGGAUAUGGUAGGUUUCUGCGUGAGGUUAUUUAUGUUCUCAUCAAUUCCAAUUGGACCAUAAUGCAUGGUAAUAGUGCACAUGAAGGGGAAGCCAGCUGAAGAUAAUUGUGAUUUAUAAACACAAGGCCCAUGAAGUCCUGAUCAAUAGGGCUUGAUCUCUGCUGAAUUGAUAAGAGCAUCUGACAAUCAAUGAGUUUGUGGUGGGGGAAUUUUGAGUGGCAGUGGCUUAAGUUAGCUUGUGGACCUGGUGAUGAUGAGUCAAAAUGAUAACCAUCAAUGAUGGAUGGUGGCUAACAAUAGGAUUUAUUCUGCAUCAAGACGGGAAGAUAACUUUGUGAUGGAAGUUUGACAUGGUUACUCAUUAAGAGAGGGCUGCCUAAGAAUUUGAGUUGAACAGGAAUAUUAGCUUGUAGGCCCAUAAUUACAAGUUACUGUGUUGUCUGCAUGGCGAUUUUUAGAGAUAGUAGCAACUGGUUGAAAAUUGGAAGCUAAUGGUAGCCUUUUUUGUUUGAUCUUUGUAUGGAUCCCUCUUGAGAAUGUUGGAACAGCUCUUUUACAAUUCUUCUUUGCUGGCUUUCCUGGCUCCCCCAUGGAAGCUUUCCUUGGGUUUUCUUUUCUUGACAAGAUUCUGUCAACCAUUUUAUUUAUAUUAUUAAUUAGGAAUUAAUAUUUAGACUCAUCGUAUGUCACUAUAGCAAGUAACUAGUGGAUCAUCUUCCUUAGUUUUAAGGUGGGCAAUAGCAUUUAGAACCUUUUCUCCUCAGCUUUUGGUAUUCAGUUGAGAGUUCCCUCCACCUUUCUGAUGAUAGAUUUCACCACAGUAGUUCUGUUGUCAAAGAUCCUUGAGCUUCUCUCCUUCCACACUGUCCCCAGAGGAUUCUUCCUCUAAGUUUCAGCCCUGUCAUGAGCGAGGAAGAUACCAGCAUUUGAAGAUCUUUGGAGGCGACCCAAACCCAAACUGUGCAGAACAAUUGAAAUAAGUAGGCCCAUAUUUAUUAUGUCCAUCUGCAUUGGAUGAAAAGGUGCUGGACUAAUUCAGCUUCCUGAUUACAUAAGCAGCAUACAUUAUCUGGCAGCUUUCCUUUGUUGAUUAGAUGAUCUUAGGUUAAAAUCCUGUCAAGGACUGCCAUCCAUGUGAGAAAUGAGACUUUUGAUGGUGCCUCUAACCUCCAAAUCCAGCUCCAUUGGACUGGAUGACCUUCCUACUCCAUGACUUCAUAAAAAGAUUUAACAGAAAAGCACCCACUCCUUUCAUCCUUUCUUAUUCAGGUAUCUGAGGAUUCUGUAAGAGAUUGGUUGGGAUGGCUAUCAAGAAAUAUGCCCUUGAGGAUUCAAUGAGUUAGAAGAUUGGCUAAUGGGACGGCCAACUCAUUAGCAACGCAAGGGGUGAAUAAGGAUCAUUUAUAUUGGGCUCAAGUGUAAUUUUAAUCUGUGUUGUAUGUGAUUGGUUCGGUAUAUCCAGUACAGAAAUAAGCUAUUCUACCUCCUAAUCAUUCAGGUUUCUUUUGAAAUGGGGUGUCCACAUUAUCUUACUCUUUCCAGUUCAUAGUAUUCCUAAAAUAAUGGCAUUUUGGUUUACAGCAAAACUAUAUAACAUGGGAUAAGGCACAGAUAGUGGUCUGUCAACAAGCCGCAUAUUCUUCCGAAAAUAAGUAUGAUUGCCUCUAUCUGGUUUAAGAGUUAUUUGGGCCUUGAAAUCUUCCCUCAUUAUCCCUUUCAAAAUACUUAUCCCAUGUGUAUUUUGGGUUGGCAGUGACUCCUGCUCCAUGUGUCAAAAUGGCAGUUUGUACAUUGUUGAUGUUUUGGACACAUGGAUCUCUCUCUCUCUCUCUCUCUCUCUCCCCCUUCCUCCCUCUCCCUCUGUCUCUAAAGUAUCACACCACACCUUGGAGCAAACUAAGGCAUUUACGGCCUGGAGUUGCAAUAAGAAAUCCCUAAACUUGACUUAAGAAAGCUGCAAAUAGUGAAUAAAGCAUUCUACCAGCAUAUUUUAUGGUCAUCCACAUUGUCCAUGUCUUGGAUCCUGGGCAAUAUGAGAUCCCCGUAUCAAUGUCCAUGUUUGUAUCCAUGUAAAGUAUUAAAAGGAAUCUUUUGGCAGAAUAUAUUUAUAGGAUUUCCAUUCUUGGCCUCACUGCAUGGUGUAUCACAGCAUACCAUUUAUUUAAACAUAAACCAAACCCACCUGUUCUUUUUCUAUUUCGAGUUGUGCACUAGUUAGCUGGUAGUGUUGUUACUUUUCCUUAGAUGUUUGGUUGCCUUGUUGACUCGAUGGAUUUAGCAUCAACAGCAUUUCCAUUAUUUAUCAAACAAGAGUUGCUCAACUUGUUCAUACUUGAAGGUCUUUCAUGCUUACCUAGUUGAUUUGGAGAGUCAAUUCUUGAUUGGCCCUGAAAACCAUUUUGGCUGGUCUGGAUUUGGAGUGCCUGCUGGAUUAGGAGAUUCUGUUUUUGCUCAACUUCGUAUUUGAGAACCCUCUUCUUCCUUAUUAAUUACUAUAGAGAUGUUUUAUCUAGGCUCUCUAACUGUAGAUUUCAGUUUCAUUCAGUUUAAAUUUUGAUUAAACUCAACUCAAAACAGCCUUAAUCCUAACUAUUUGGGGUUGGCCACAAGAAUCCUUUCUUGCAAUUGUGUUCUAUCAAGAGCCAUGUGUUUUUCAAGUUACUAGUCUGUAAAUCAUUUUGUACCAUUCUUCUUGCUCUUUUAGAACCUUCUAUUUGUACCAAUUCACUCACUGAUGCAAUCAUUGGUUUCUCUAAAUCUGAAAUUCAAAUUUGAACUGGAUAAAGUUACUAAUCUAAGGUAUUAGUAAUCCUCCAUUUUUUCUCCUGUUUCCACUGCUACCGAGUUUGUCAAGUUCUUACAUCCAAGCUGCCUAGUUCACUUUCCUAUUUAAUUGAUGAGGAAUUACAUCUUGGAUUUGUAUUCUGAGCCUGUUAAAAAUCAUGUUUUAGUUCUAGAAAGUGCUGCAAGAUUGUUUUCCUAAAAGAAUUCCAAAAGACUUUGUUCUAGUGGAUUCUGAGAAGAGACAGGAUUAAGUGGAAUUUGAAGGGAAGUGUACAGGAAGCUUGAAGGUUUAGGUAUGUUACUGAUGUCAUGGCCUAUCACAUCACAGAUAUUGGAACAUUGCACGACUCACAAGUCAUGAUGCCUCUUGGGCACAGAUAAACAAAGGUGUUAGGAGACCAUUUACCUUAAAUUUGGUUGCUUUUCUAUUUGAUUCUUGCUCCUUUUAGUUUUAUUUUCAGUUCUCACAGUGCUCAAUAAACUAGUCGUGUAGAAGGUCAUCAACCAGACUGUUUAAAUUUGCUUCUUCUUUUACCACCAUGGAAGAAGCUAGAUUCAAAUAUGUUCGUGCUAAGCCGAAACUAUGUCCAUUGCUUAUUAAAGUACCUCUAAGCAGAGAAGUUGCACUUGUUCA